This 112-nucleotide ribosomal RNA is filed under the name Castor canadensis (American beaver). Lineage: Eukaryota; Metazoa; Chordata; Mammalia; Rodentia; Castoridae. The record is from RNAcentral.
UACAGCAGCCAUAGCACCAUGGGUGCGCCCGAUCUUGUCUGAUCUUGGAAGCUAGGCAGGGUUGGGCCCGGUUAGAACUUGGAAGGGAGAAUUAGCUAAAGAGCUUCAGGAA